GACGAACGCUGGCGGCGUGCUUAACACAUGCAAGUCGAACGGAAAGGCCCUGCUUGCAGGGUACUCGAGUGGCGAACGGGUGAGUAACACGUGGGUGAUCUGCCCUGCACUUCGGGAUAAGCUUGGGAAACUGGGUCUAAUACCGGAUAGGAACCAUCUUUAGUGUGGUGGUUGGAAAGUUUUUUCGGUGUAGGAUGAGCUCGCGGCCUAUCAGCUUGUUGGUGGGGUAAUGGCCUACCAAGGCGGCGACGGGUAGCCGGCCUGAGAGGGUGUACGGCCACAUUGGGACUGAGAUACGGCCCAGACUCCUACGGGAGGCAGCAGUGGGGAAUAUUGCACAAUGGGCGCAAGCCUGAUGCAGCGACGCCGCGUGGGGGAUGAAGGCCUUCGGGUUGUAAACUACUUUCGCUAGGGACGAAGCUUUUUGUGACGGUACCUAGAUAAGAAGCACCGGCUAACUACGUG
This 465-nucleotide ribosomal RNA is filed under the name uncultured bacterium. Its description in RNAcentral is "partial 16S ribosomal RNA". It matches the Rfam family "Bacterial small subunit ribosomal RNA", at positions 28 to 507 of the family's 1533-position model. The record is from RNAcentral.